Molecule: long non-coding RNA, 4416 nt
Filed under: Androctonus crassicauda
Lineage: Eukaryota; Metazoa; Arthropoda; Arachnida; Scorpiones; Buthidae
Source: RNAcentral
CCGGUGACGGGAUGCCGGUGGGAUCCCAGAUGGCUCCUUUCGGAAAAAAUUGGCCACCCGAGAAUCGAAGGGGGAACCUUCCGGUGGUCUUACUAGUCCCACCGUCCGUGGCAAAUCCCGGUCUAGAAAGAUUCUGUCCCGAUUAAUCGGGCCAGAUAUCUUUCGGCCGCCACCCCGCGGCGGUGGGUGGAUAAUUUCUGGCAGCUCCGGUAUACUUAACGUUAAUCUCGGAUUUUUAUGGUUCCGUUAUACACGCUAAUCCGUCUUACCGCUAUCCCCCGUAUCCCGGCUAAUCUUCUUCGCACUUUUGAUGACGCGCUAAAGGCACGCGCAUGUACAGGCCCGGUCGACCGACAGAAAUCGCGGUUCGACUUCCCGCUUGGGUUUGAAUAUGGUGGUAGCGGUUCCGGUAGCGCCAUUUUAGAAAAGCCAAUGGGAUACCCAGUAUCGAUUAAAUGAAAUUAGAAAUAUUCCUGGCUCUACUCGAUUCAAAAUCUAUACAGUUUACAAAUUUUGUCGCCCAUCGCCUAUAGUAAAAUAAACCGACCGCUGUCAUUGGUUAAUCGGUGCCGACAGCCAAUGGUGGCCGUCCACAUCGGCUUCCUCCAAAUACGCGCGCCGAUAUACCAAUAAUACCGACGCCAUCAUUGGCGCCUGUACCAGUGUUUGGCGGGACGUGGUAGCGGCGCGCCUCUGGUGCGCUGGCUAUAGCGCCAACCGGCCUUAAUACCGAAAGCCGGGGAUGGGAUGGCGGGAAGUGCCGGAGUCGCGUCUCCCGAAAAAACUUUUUUCGGGGCGCUGGGCCCGGCUCGUCCUUCAUCGUCCUUAACUCUCCACCGGUGUGGCUGCAGCCGGUGGUUAGAACUGGCUCCGCUCCGAUCGAAAAUGGAAUAAUCUCCCCGACUGGAAAAGGGCGUAACAAAUGCGAAAGAAUAAAAAAAUUCCAGGAAAGUCCGGAAGUCGGGUGGCUGCCGCCUGAGCCGUUCUUCGGGUCCUCAGUAUAGUAAAUUCGUUGGGUUUUGGCAGAUUACGAUAUUAGUGUCCGGUAACCGCGGGGUAUGGUCAAACUGCCCCUAAUGAAUUUUUUAAAUUUUCAUUUACUGUUUUAAGUUGGUACAGUGUUAGUUAAGUGGCCUAAGGGACCACCGGAUACAGGACGUAAGAGUCGGGAGUCGAUAAUAAGGCGGGUGGGCUGGAAAGACGCUACUGGUCACGGUUCCGUUCUUCCGACACAACGGGAGAAAAUUCCGCCAAUCGGACCUUCUAUCCCACUAUCCGGACCCUUUCUCCUCCCGCUAGGGUCUAAAAGAAGUGGCGGCUACUAGCCUACCACCGGGAAUACGGGACGUCUACAGCGCCUUCCGAGAAACGCGCUAUGCCGGAUGGCGGCCAUCUGGGUUAGCCUCCGUAUUUUGGUGGGUUUGACACCGUUAGGCGCCUGGCUUUUCGCUACUUUUUACUAAGCAGCCGCCAUUCUACCGAGUAGAAAAUAGGACCAGUCCAGAGCCGUCGUUUCCGCCAUUUAUCUUCGGACAAAAUUCUAUAGACGGCAGCUGUCUAUAGAGUAGAGUCCUUACCCCGAUCUGGUGUAGGUCUAUUCCUAUGGUCUCUAUCCAGAUGGAAGGGGGGCCGGCCCGAGAGGAGAACGGCCACAAGCCGAGGUAAAUUUACCCGGAGGAAGAGAGUCCAGUCGGGCGGUGCCGGGCCGACCACCUCGGGCCCGCCUUCCGGGAAGAAACGGUCAUCCGAGCCGCGGGCCACAUGGCCGCCAGCCGGGCGUAAAACCGGCGUAAUUAAUGACGACGGCGGCUCCUUUCAUCUCCACUUCCGCCCCUUUUUUCAGCGCGCGGCCGUCGACUGGGUUACCCGACACGCGCCGCUAAUUAAUGGCCGUGGGGUGGCUGGGCCGCCCCCGCCCCAUCCGUCUACGGCGGCGGCGGAAGGGAAAGCGAGAAUAACGGGGCCGCGGAAAAGUCAGAGAGGCCUCCCUCUCGGCCUUCUUCCGACGGGGUCCGGCCGCCCUAUCCGCUGACAGAUCGACGGGAAAAGCGGAGAGGGAAUCCGAAGAAGCCGGUUAUUUGGUCGAACCCUGGCAGCAGUUUGGGUCCGAUCGUCCGAGUGGCUGGGAGAGGGCCGCGGCUGGCAGCGGGUGCAAAAUUGGCUAGCGGGCGUUUCCGGUGCCCGACCGGUCCGAUUCUCUGCCCGUGGCCUAUCCUAUCCGUCCAACUAACCGUACCCCCUGAGUUUUUCCAGCUACGGAUCGGUAUCGGGACUUCUCCAUCCCUUUUUACUUUCGGGACGGAGGGAGUGGAGAACGGUCGCUCUAUCUUCUUUUCCGGCCGACGGACACAAGUCGAGGUAUCGAUACGGUCCGCAUUUAUAGUCUCCGGAGUGCGCGGCCGACCCCACGGCCUGCACCGGAAGUAGCCAGUGGCGUAUUUCCGUCGAGCCUUUCCCGAGUAAACGGUGGACGCCCCACCAGUAACGGCCUGACGGGAAAGUGUCCGGUAAAAGUAACGGAAGGACCCUUCGGGGUCUAGUGAGCCGUUAGUCCCGACCGAGAGAAAGGGUUAGGUCCGUCCCGGCUGCCAACUCAGCGGCCCGGCAGUGGCCGGGAGGUGGACGAAUCUCCGCUACGGGCUAACCGUAUCGGGUCCAGCCUAGACGGAGGACGGACGGCCACUCCGGCGGGAGAUGAGUCCCAGACCCCAGUCUCUUCCAGGAAGAAGGCGGAUUUUUUAACGGUGGAGAUGCGGUGCGACCCGCGGGUUCAGGCCGAAUCCUCCGCCCAGCCUAAGUCGGCGCCGGGGGAAACGACGGCUCCCCCCUCGGCUGGGGUAGGCCAACCGAAGUCCGAGAAGGGAAAGAGCAGCCGGGGAGAGAGAGGCCACCCCCACCACUGCCGAGACAAAUAUCCGGCCUAGGUGGUGGGGGUCCGGGCGGCUUUCUCACCCUUUUCCAUGGUCGAGAUUUGCCAGCCGAAGAGGAAGGGCCGGGACGGUUGGGAAGCCUACCCGACCCAUCAGGGAAGGAGUUUUUCGGAUGCCGUACCGGGACUGGAGGCUGGGUCCCAGGCCCAGAAGGAAAGACGAGCUAGCCGACGAGUGAGUUUACUGGCGGGAAAAUUGAUAAUUAACUCCGACCGGAUUUAGCCGGUACCGACCACCAGCGCGGAUUUCUAUCGACCAGGUAAAUAUAUCGGAGGGCGGGUGGGCGGAAUUGCCCACGGAUCAGCGAUACAAAGUGCAUGAUCCGGUGGAAGGCCGCGCGGGUCGGCGGGUUAGAGGGCCGGGAUAGAUGGCAGAGGUAUGGGCUACUUAACGGAAGAGGUCUCCGAUACAAAGGGAAGGGCCGACCCAACACCAGUUAAGGGCGUUAAGUCGAAAAGUUAGCCCUGGGAGUUAAAAGGCGCUUUCCCGGCUGGGAAUUAAAUGGCCCACCACCACCUUACCGUCUUACCGGGCGGGUUCGGUUUCUUUACCGUUUGGCUAGUGGCUACCUAUCCCAAGGGUGCGCGCAGCUUUCUCCUCCAUAUUUAGCCGCCAAUAGGCUCCACUCAGCCGAUUUAACCGACUUUACGCCGCCUCCGAUCUAGGCUUAGCCACGGUGGAUGGCCGAAUCCUGUCCUGAUUCCGUGACUCGGACCGGUCAAAUCCUGUAAGAUUAGCGGCGAGUAGGACACCGAUGGUGGGAAAGGCGUCCGCACCGUGGCGGGAGACACAGACGGUGCAGCCGGCCGAGGUACCCAGCGCACCGGUAGAAUCUUUUUUGGGGUAAAAACCCGAAGGGUUCAAAGGCUGGAGCCAACAGAGUCCGUCCGUCGCUUUCCGUUCCGAAUUGGGUCCCAGGCCUUACUCCUGGCCUGGUCAAGUCGGCCACGGUGGAUUCUGGCGCUCGAAAUUCGAUGUGCCGAUCCACGCUUCGGUGGUGUAGGUGAUUAGUAGGCCCGGCCUAAACGGUGCCAACGGCAGUGGAAGGAGGUGGUAUUAUAUUUCUUGGGUUUACAGGUUUUAACCAGGGAGCAGUUGGAAACCGUAGAAACGAUAAUUUUAGAUGGAGAUUGUUAAAAAAAUCAGACGUAGUGACGGUUUAUUGGCAUACUUUUAGUUUCCGAGCAGAAAAAUGUCAUCAUAUACGCUGGUGACCGGGUAAUAUUUUUCUUUAUCUUUAGCCUUUUCCGAUUUUUAUUUCCGACCGCCGUUAUCUUUAAACUCUGCGAGCGCUCGAUGGUUUUCCUCUAUCGCGGUCUAAGCGCUGGGGACCACCUUUAUUUUAUUUUAUCGGUAACAGAAAAAAGGGCGAGCUGCGAUUAACCCAUAGAAAAGGAAGGAAGUGGGAAGGACAGAGUUAAAGAUUCCUGCCGAAGAAAGUGGACUGGCCACUAGUAGUAAUAGUAGUAGUAGUUGUGAUAAAAGC